GUUGUAGCUCACUCGUAGAGCACUUGCUUUGGCAUGAGACUCUUGAUCUCAGGGUUGUGGGUUCGAGCCCCACGUUGGGCA
Molecule: non-coding RNA, 81 nt
Organism: Podarcis lilfordi (Lilford's wall lizard)
Lineage: Eukaryota; Metazoa; Chordata; Lepidosauria; Squamata; Lacertidae
Source: the annotation of a GenBank genome assembly